Molecule: long non-coding RNA, 381 nt
Filed under: Drosophila guanche
Lineage: Eukaryota; Metazoa; Arthropoda; Insecta; Diptera; Drosophilidae
Source: RNAcentral
UUAUGCAAAUGGUUCUGAACGCUUUCCUGUACGAAAUGUACAUACAUCUAAUCAGACAUAUAUGCGUGGCUUUAUCAUUUUCUGGCAUAUUUUUAUAGACCUUUUGUGCAUCAGUAUACCCUCAGUAUCAAGAACGAAACAACUUUUACAUUAGUCGAUCGGCGAUCUUGCUCCGUCACAGUGGUGGAGGAAUGGGGGAAAAAGAAGCACAUAUUUAAUGGCAAAUACGACAGUUAUUACAGUCGAUGCAGAGAAUGCAAUCAAUUAAUUGACAAACAGCGAUGAUCGAGCCCAAGCCAUGGCCGGUGAUCGUUGCAGAUGGCUGAAGAUUGCUGAAGAUGGCUGUAGAUGGUCGGAGAUGUGGAUGUGUAUUUGCCAGGC